CUGAGUACGGCGGAACACGUGAAAUUCCGUCGGAAUCCGGGAGGACCAUCUCCCAAGGCUAAAUACUCCCUAGUGACCGAUAGUGAACCAGUACCGUGAGGGAAAGGUGAAAAGCACCCCGGAAGGGGAGUGAAACAGUUCCUGAAACCGUGUGCCUACAAGUAGUUAGAGCCCGUUAAUGGGUGAUAGCGUGCCUUUUGUAGAAUGAACCGGCGAGUUACGAUUUGUUGCAAGGUUAAGCGGAAAAAGCGGAGCCGUAGCGAAAGCGAGUCUGAAUAGGGCGCAUAAGUAACAGGUCGUAGACCCGAAACCAGGUGAUCUACCCAUGUCCAGGAUGAAGGUAAGGUAAUACUUACUGGAGGUCCGAACCCACGCACGUUGAAAAGUGCGGGGAUGAGGUGUGGGUAGCGGAGAAAUUCCAAUCGAACUUGGAGAUAGCUGGUUCUCUCCGAAAUAGCUUUAGGGCUAGCCUCGAGGUAAAGAGUCAUGGAGGUAGAGCACUGUUUGGACUAGGGGCCCUUCUCGGGUUACCGAAUUCAGAUAAACUCCGAAUGCCAUGUACUUAUACUCGGGAGUCAGACUGCGAGUGAUAAGAUCCGUAGUCGAAAGGGAAACAGCCCAGACCACCAGUUAAGGUCCCCAAAUAUAUGUUAAGUGGAAAAGGAUGUGGGGUUGCUUAGACAACCAGGAUGUUGGCUUAGAAGCAGCCACCAUUGAAAGAGUGCGUAAUAGCUCACUGGUCGAGUGACCCCGCGCCGAAAAUGUACCGGGGCUAAACAUAUUACCGAAACUGUGGAUGAACCUCUUUAGAGGUUCGUGGUAGGAGAGCGUUCUAAGGGCGGUGAAGUCAGACCGGAAGGACUGGUGGAGCGCUUAGAAGUGAGAAUGCCGGUAUGAGUAGCGAAAGAAGGGUGAGAAUCCCUUCCACCGAAUAUCUAAGGUUUCCUGAGGAAGGCUCGUCCGCUCAGGGUUAGUCGGGACCUAAGCCGAGGCCGAUAGGCGUAGGCGAUGGACAACAGGUAGAGAUUCCUGUACCAGUGCUAAUUGUUUAACCGAUGGGGUGACACAGAAGGAUAGGGAAUCGCACGAAUGGAAAUGUGCGUCCAAGCAGUGAGUGUGAGAAGUAGGCAAAUCCGCUUCUCGCGAAGCAUGAGCUGUGAUGGGGAAGGAAAUUAAGUACGGAAGUUCCUGAUUUCACGCUGUCAAGAAAAGCCUCUAGGAAGAGUAGUACUGCCCGUACCGCAAACCGACACAGGUAGAUGAGGAGAGAAUCCUAAGGUGAGCGAGAGAACUCUCGUUAAGGAACUCGGCAAAAUGACCCCGUAACUUCGGGAGAAGGGGUGCUCUAUUAGGGUGCAAGCCCGAGAGAGCCGCAGUGAAUAGGCCCAGGCGACUGUUUAGCAAAAACACAGGUCUCUGCAAAACCGUAAGGUGACGUAUAGGGGCUGACGCCUGCCCGGUGCUGGAAGGUUAAGAGGAGUGCUUAGCUUCGGCGAAGGUACGAAUUGAAGCCCCAGUAAACGGCGGCCGUAACUAUAACGGUCCUAAGGUAGCGAAAUUCCUUGUCGGGUAAGUUCCGACCCGCACGAAAGGCGCAACGAUCUGGGCACUGUCUCAACGAGAGACUCGGUGAAAUUAUAGUACCUGUGAAGAUGCAGGUUACCCGCGACAGGACGGAAAGACCCCGUGGAGCUUUACUGCAACCUGAUAUGGAAUGUUUGUACCGCUUGUACAGGAUAGGUAGGAGCCGAAGAGACGUGUGCGCUAGCAUACGAGGAGGCAAUGGUGGGAUACUACCCUGGCUGUAUGACCAUUCUAACCCGCCACGCUUAGCGCGUGGGGAGACAGUGUCAGGUGGGCAGUUUGACUGGGGCGGUCGCCUCCUAAAGAGUAACGGAGGCGCCCAAAGGUUCCCUCAGAAUGGAUGGAAAUCAUUCGCAGAGUGUAAAGGCACAAGGGAGCUUGACUGCGAGACUGACAAGUCGAGCAGGGACGAAAGUCGGGCUUAGUGAUCCGGUGGUUCCGCAUGGAAGGGCCAUCGCUCAACGGAUAAAAGCUACCCCGGGGAUAACAGGCUUAUCUCCCCCAAGAGUCCACAUCGACGGGGAG
RNAcentral lists this ribosomal RNA (2109 nucleotides) under Listeria monocytogenes. Its description in RNAcentral is "partial 23S ribosomal RNA". It matches the Rfam family "Bacterial large subunit ribosomal RNA", at positions 408 to 2515 of the family's 2925-position model. The record is from RNAcentral. Lineage: Bacteria; Bacillati; Bacillota; Bacilli; Caryophanales; Listeriaceae.